This 450-nucleotide ribosomal RNA is filed under the name uncultured Alphaproteobacteria bacterium. RNAcentral's name for it is "bacterial SSU rRNA". It matches the Rfam family "Bacterial small subunit ribosomal RNA", at positions 412 to 880 of the family's 1533-position model. Lineage: Bacteria; Pseudomonadati; Pseudomonadota; Alphaproteobacteria. The record is from RNAcentral.
AGGCCUUAGGGUUGUAAAGCGCUUUCAGCGGGGACGAUGAUGACGGUACCCGCAGAAGAAGCCCCGGCUAACUCCGUGCCAGCAGCCGCGGUAAUACGGAGGGGGCAAGCGUUGUUCGGAAUUACUGGGCGUAAAGGGCGCGUAGGCGGACGAUCAAGUCAGAGGUGAAAGCCCCGGGCUCAACCUGGGAACUGCCUUUGAAACUGAUAGUCUAGAGUCCGGAAGAGGAUAGCGGAAUUCCCAGUGUAGAGGUGAAAUUCGUAGAUAUUGGGAAGAACACCAGUGGCGAAGGCGGCUAUCUGGUCCGGUACUGACGCUGAGGCGCGAAAGCGUGGGGAGCAAACAGGAUUAGAUGCCCUGGUAGUCCACGCCGUAAACGAUGUGUGCUAGCCGUUGGGGGACCUAGUUCCUCGGUGGCGCCGCUAACGCUUUAAGCACACCGCUGGGGAG